RNAcentral lists this long non-coding RNA (1583 nucleotides) under Ricinus communis (castor bean). RNAcentral describes it as "long non-coding RNA (RCOM_LNC001528)". Lineage: Eukaryota; Viridiplantae; Streptophyta; Magnoliopsida; Malpighiales; Euphorbiaceae. The record is from RNAcentral.
CACAGUGCGAAUAAUUCAAAGCUUAUUAGAUAGAACCAAGCCAUGCUCUCUUGCACGCGUGGUCGAUUCUACAUGGUGGGAUGAAUAUGCUUGCGAUAGGAAAGGUGCGUGCAACCAUCCUACCUAAUAAUUCAUUGUAACACGGAGGGUAGUCAAACAGAAAUAAAUGAAGCAGCAUUCACAAAAUGACCAAAACCGUAGAUAUUUCUUGACAUAACUUUUGCUGCAAAGACAUGAAUUCUACUGCUGAAACAAUUGAAUAGCGACUUGCAGUGGUAAUUCGAUCUAAAGGCACUAAUUACGCCGCUUUAACUCAAAUGCCAUUUGAAUUAACGAACUUCGUGCAGCUAUUUUAUUAUCAGAACAUUGAAUGGUAUUAAGUUGGUAGAUAACCACAUGCGGGUCUGUAGUUGUCAAACUGAAAUAAAUGAAGUUACACAUCCAAAAUGACAGAAGAUUUGUAGGUGACGUUUGGUACUUCUUUCCUCAAUAUCUUACUCUUUUACUUCUGAAAAUUCAUUUGUUGCUAUAAAUGCUCGUAAGACAUUGAUCCUACUUCCCACAAGAAUGGAAUAGCGACUUGCAAUGGUAUAGCAAUCUAAAGGCACCGAUUAAACAGCCUUGUUUCGACAUUAUUGAACCAAAAACAGCUGGAGGCAAUCAAAGGCAGACCUAUAUGUUGGAUCUAAGCACUUAAAGUAGGUCAGUAAUUACACUCAAUAGAACAUUGAUUCUAGAGUUGGGACACAGCAUUAUGUACAUGGACUACCUUAGUGAAGUUAACCAAUAACUAGAAGAUGUAGCAAGAACUAUAUAACAAUAAUUAGAGAACCUGAAACUGGUAAAAAAUACCUGCAAAGUAGAUUAACUCAAAAUUAUGCAGCUUUGCUGAUGGAGUAUCUCAUAGUGUAUGAGAUUAAUGGCUCAAACCUUGAUAUUGCAGAAGAAAAAAAAAUCAGAAAAAGUAUGUAGGCUUAAUGCAGAAGCUACUUUCUCAACUAACUGAACAACUUGUAUUUUAUUUUCUUGCUGUCUGAAAGGACUAUCAGGACCACAUCUUGAUUUGCAUGAAUCCCUAGACACCCUAGCCUCUAUCUAUGAACUGUUUCAGUACCACUCUUUGGUUGAUUAAGUUAUAUAGAUGAGCUCUUGAGAUUGCAAUCAAAACGUUGGUCCAUGAUCUCAACCCAUGAAAGCCUAGUUCCAACCAGCUUUUUAUUGUCAUUUAACUUAUCCGGUUCUCUAAGAAAAGGACCUCUCUUUCUUAUCAGUUAUGCGUACACAUGCUAGAAACAUGGCUGCUUAAACUUGAAAGAAUAAAAUGAGAAGAUGAAAGAAGGGGGAAGAAGGAAUUAUAAACUAAUACACGACGUUGAUAAUUAUUUUUAAUUCCCUUGCAAAUUGAGGUCCUUUUCAAAUUUCUCAUCUCUUUUCAUUUUCUGUUGUCUUUUUAGGAUAUCUCAUUAGCCUAACAUUGUCUCUACAUAGAAUAUAUCCAUGAGACACAUUUGUAAUUGUCCCAAGAAGAAUGAUAUGAUAACUGAAAAGGUGGCAUCCCCACCAAACUGAGAAGUCAAAAUCAU